UUAAAUACAACUAGAAAUAACAACUGACCUGAUUAGAAGGAUUCAAACCAUAAAAAUAGCAUAACUACUUAUGCUGAUAUUCAGCUAACAACCCCAAGCUCAAGACCUAUUCUUAAGCUAAAAUACUUGGUUGUAAAUCAACAGAUUAUGAACAAGUCUUAACCUGAUGCCACGUAUAAUUAUUAGACUUAAUAUUAAACUCAACUGGACUCUAGACUUGACUAAAUUAAAUAAUACUCAAUAAAUACUAGAUCUUUAUGCAGAACAUUACUCAGCUCCUAUGCCACGUCAUUGUGCACAUAACAUUUUAGUUAAACAAAUCACUAUAAAAAAGGGUUGAAUGGGAGAUAUUUUACACACAAUGCAACACCUUAUUUGCCUUCUCAUGUUCGAUUUUCUUAGCUUUGUUUUUCCAUUAGCG
RNAcentral lists this long non-coding RNA (421 nucleotides) under Populus tremula. RNAcentral describes it as "long non-coding RNA (PTRE_LNC002200)". Lineage: Eukaryota; Viridiplantae; Streptophyta; Magnoliopsida; Malpighiales; Salicaceae. The record is from RNAcentral.